GCACUCGCAGUGCACCAGCCUUUUUCUGCAGCGGCCGGGCCUGCCUGGUCACGGCCGGACUGGACUACGUGCAUCGUGCGUGCUCCAGUCCGGCCGUGGCCGGGCUUUGCACUUCACCACAUUGUGAAGACUGGGACGGCUAAUGGCAUUUCCGUUUCCUACACGCACAAGCAUCUGAGCUAGGCACAUACCCGUAUGCUCACCCCCUGGGGUGCACAUGGACACGCCGAUCAUCGGGACCUUCUUUCAUCGGCGCCCCCAUCCAAGCGAAGGCAGCUAGACCUCUCUCAAGCACCGAGUUUGCCGAAUGGAGAAACCUUGGUUCGCCGACUCUACGCCGCCUGAGGCUGGCUUCUAUGGUCUACAGUGGUCCUUGUCCAAGUACUUCUGGCCUACGCUCUCAACUACCUACAAUGGACGAAACUUUUUUAUUUUUAUUUUUAUUAUUAUUUUUAGGCCUGCGAAGCGAUAACUGCGAACAAGUGUCGACUUCAUAUUUCUCCAGGGGGACGAAGAAUGCAAGCGAUUUUACAUUUCAAGAAUAAAUACACGACUCUGUUUUA
This is a long non-coding RNA of Dermacentor andersoni, 563 nucleotides long. RefSeq lists it as uncharacterized. The record is from RefSeq and is a predicted model, not a curated record. NCBI's taxonomy places the organism in Eukaryota, Metazoa, Arthropoda, Arachnida, Ixodida, Ixodidae.